UACGUAGGGGGCAAGCGUUGUCCGGAUUUAUUGGGCGUAAAGAGCGUGUAGGCGGCUAGAUAGGUCCGUUGUGAAAACUCGAGGCUCAACCUCGAGACGCCGAUGGAAACCAUCUAGCUAGAGUCCGGAAGAGGAGAAUGGAAUUCCUGGUGUAGCGGUGAAAUGCGCAGAUAUCAGGAGGAACACCGAUGGCGAAGGCAGAUCUCUGGGCCGUAACUGACGC
RNAcentral lists this ribosomal RNA (223 nucleotides) under uncultured bacterium. RNAcentral's name for it is "partial 16S ribosomal RNA". It matches the Rfam family "Bacterial small subunit ribosomal RNA", at positions 524 to 746 of the family's 1533-position model. The record is from RNAcentral.